RNAcentral lists this ribosomal RNA (450 nucleotides) under uncultured bacterium. RNAcentral's name for it is "bacterial SSU rRNA". It matches the Rfam family "Bacterial small subunit ribosomal RNA", at positions 354 to 795 of the family's 1533-position model. The record is from RNAcentral.
GUGGGGAAUAUUGGACAAUGGGCGGAAGCCUGAUCCAGCCAUGCCGCGUGUGUGAAGAAGGCCUUUUGGUUGUAAAGCACUUUAAGCGAGGAGGAGGCUCUUAAGGUUAAUACCCUUGAUGAGUGGACGUUACUUGCAGAAUAAGCACCGGCUAACUCUGUGCCAGCAGCCGCGGUAAUACAGAGGGUGCGAGCGUUAAUCGGAUUUACUGGGCGUAAAGCGUGCGUAGGCGGCUGAUUAAGUCGGAUGUGAAAUCCCUGAGCUUAACUUAGGAAUUGCAUUCGAUACUGGUCAGCUAGAGUAUGGGAGAGGAUGGUAGAAUUCCAGGUGUAGCGGUGAAAUGCGUAGAGAUCUGGAGGAAUACCGAUGGCGAAGGCAGCCAUCUGGCCUAAUACUGACGCUGAGGUACGAAAGCGUGGGGAGCAAACAGGAUUAGAAACCCCGGUAGUC